AUGCUCUUUGCGGAUGAUGUGGUGCUAGUUGACGAUAGUCGGACGGGGGUCAAUAGGAAGUUAGAGUUAUGGAGACAAACCUUGGAAUCGAAAGGUUUUAGGCUUAGUAGAACUAAAACCGACUACAUGAGGUGCGGUUUCAGUACUACUAGGGGCGAGGAGGAGGUUAGCCUGGAUGGACAGGUGGUGCCUCAGAAGGACACCUUUCGAUAUUUGGGGUCAAUGCUGCAGAAGGAUGGAGGUAUUGAUGAAGAUGUGAAUCAUCGCAUCAAAGCCGGAUGGAUGAAGUGGCACCAAGCUUCUCGCAUUCUCUGUGACAAGAGAGUGCCACAAAAGCUAAAAGGCGAGUUCUACAGGACGGUGGUUCGACCCGCAAUGUUGUAUGGCGCUGAGUGUUGGCUGACUAAAAGGCGACAUGUUCAACAGUUACGUGUGGCGGAGAUGCGCAUGUUGAGGUGGAUGUGUGGCCACACAAGGAAGGAUUGA
Molecule: ribosomal RNA, 486 nt
Filed under: Triticum aestivum (bread wheat)
Lineage: Eukaryota; Viridiplantae; Streptophyta; Magnoliopsida; Poales; Poaceae
Description: partial small subunit ribosomal RNA
Source: RNAcentral